RNAcentral lists this transfer RNA (72 nucleotides) under human gut metagenome. It matches the Rfam family "tRNA". Rfam says of the family: Transfer RNA (tRNA) molecules are approximately 80 nucleotides in length. Their secondary structure includes four short double-helical elements and three loops (D, anti-codon, and T loops). The record is from RNAcentral.
GAGACGUAGCUCAGCUGGUCAGAGCGCUCGCUUCACAUGCGAGAGGUCGCGGGUUCGAGCCCCUCCGCCUCC